UUCUACGGGGGGCAGCAGUGAGGAAUAUUGGUCAAUGGCCGAGAGGCUGAACCAGCCAAGUCGCGUGAGGGAAGACGGCCCUACGGGUUGUAAACCUCUUUUGUCGGGGAGCAAAGAGAGUCACGUGUGACUCAUUGAGAGUACCCGAAGAAAAAGCAUCGGCUAACUCCGUGCCAGCAGCCGCGGUAAUACGGAGGAUGCGAGCGUUAUCCGGAUUUAUUGGGUUUAAAGGGUGCGUAGGCGGUCCGGAAAGUCAGCGGUAAAAGCCCGGGGCUCAACCCCGGCGAGCCGUUGAAACUGUCGGA
RNAcentral lists this ribosomal RNA (305 nucleotides) under uncultured bacterium. RNAcentral's name for it is "bacterial SSU rRNA". It matches the Rfam family "Bacterial small subunit ribosomal RNA", at positions 337 to 640 of the family's 1533-position model. The record is from RNAcentral.